RNAcentral lists this ribosomal RNA (253 nucleotides) under uncultured bacterium. RNAcentral's name for it is "partial 16S ribosomal RNA". It matches the Rfam family "Bacterial small subunit ribosomal RNA", at positions 524 to 776 of the family's 1533-position model. The record is from RNAcentral.
UACGGAGGUGGCAAGCGUUGUUCGGAAUUACUGGGCGUAAAGGGCGCGUAGGCGGCAGGGCAAGUCAGGUGUGAAAGCCCCGGGCUCAACUCGGGAACUGCAUCUGAAACUGCUUUGCUUGAGUCCUGGAGGGGGUAGUGGAAUUCCCAGUGUAGCGGUGAAAUGCGUAGAUAUUGGGAGGAACACCGGUGGCGAAGGCGGCUACCUGGACAGUGACUGACGCUGAGGCGCGAAAGCUAGGGGAGCGAACAGG